GACGAACGCUGGCGGCGUGCUUAACACAUGCAAGUCGAACGGAAAGGCCCUGCUUUUGUGGGGUGCUCGAGUGGCGAACGGGUGAGUAACACGUGAGUAACCUGCCCUUGACUUUGGGAUAACUUCAGGAAACUGGGGCUAAUACCGGCUAGGAGCUCCUGCUGCAUGGUGGGGGUUGGAAAGUUUCGGCGGUUGGGGAUGGACUCGCGGCUUAUCAGCUUGUUGGUGGGGUAGUGGCUUACCAAGGCUUUGACGGGUAGCCGGCCUGAGAGGGUGACCGGACACAUUAGGCCUGAGAUACGGCCCAGACUCCUACGGGAGGCAGCAGUGGGGAAUAUUGCACAAUGGGCGGAAGCCUGAUGCAGCAACGCCGCGUGCGGGAUGACGGCCUUCGGGUUGUAAACCGCUUUCGCCUGUGACGAAGCGUGAGUGACGGUAAUGGGUAAAGAAGCACCGGCUAACUACGUG
This 468-nucleotide ribosomal RNA is filed under the name uncultured bacterium. Its description in RNAcentral is "partial 16S ribosomal RNA". It matches the Rfam family "Bacterial small subunit ribosomal RNA", at positions 28 to 507 of the family's 1533-position model. The record is from RNAcentral.